Molecule: ribosomal RNA, 496 nt
Filed under: uncultured bacterium
Lineage: Bacteria
Description: partial 16S ribosomal RNA
Rfam family: Bacterial small subunit ribosomal RNA
Source: RNAcentral
AUGAACGCUGGCGGCGUGCCUAAUACAUGCAAGUCGAGCGAACAGACGAGGAGCUUGCUCCUCUGACGUUAGCGGCGGACGGGUGAGUAACACGUGGAUAACCUACCUAUAAGACUGGGAUAACUUCGGGAAACCGGAGCUAAUACCGGAUAAUAUAUUGAACCGCAUGGUUCAAUAGUGAAAGACGGUUUUGCUGUCACUUAUAGAUGGAUCCGCGCCGCAUUAGCUAGUUGGUAAGGUAACGGCUUACCAAGGCGACGAUGCGUAGCCGACCUGAGAGGGUGAUCGGCCACACUGGAACUGAGACACGGUCCAGACUCCUACGGGAGGCAGCAGUAGGGAAUCUUCCGCAAUGGGCGAAAGCCUGACGGAGCAACGUCGCGUGAGUGAUGAAGGUCUUCGGAUCGUAAAACUCUGUUAUUAGGGAAGAACAAAUGUGUAAGUAACUAUGCACGUCUUGACGGUACCUAAUCAGAAAGCCACGGCUAACUACGUG